AUGCACUUCUGUAUUUCAGCAUACAAUGGAAAGUUCUGUGAACAACAAGGUUGUAAGCUUGCUACAGCAGAAUCCAGUACUUUUGCCACAUCAGCGGGUGGAAACUGUCGUUCCGUGCACUUCUGAAUCAUAAGCAAAGUAGAAACACAUUUAGUGAUAAGUUCUGAAGGAAUUUCUGCUUCAUUUCUAUCUGACAUAUUCUUUGACUUAAGAUCAGGUGGAGUUGGCACGCAAGAAUCAUCUAGUAGAAUCCGAUCAUUCACAUAAUCAAUAGCCUCCUCAAUCUUCUCGGUGGUGUUGUCUCUACCGGUAAAUGAAAGCAUUGCCUGCACGGCUGCAUCUACCAUAGUCCGGGAUUUGAUUUUUGAGUUUUCUAUUAUCUCAUUGACAAGGAAUCCUGAUUCCUGCGGUUGAUUUGUACAACGAUCAAAAGUGCUCGCAAUACUAGGAUCAGCAAAAUUUGGAACUGGCCUUGGCCAAGCAAGUGGAAUGCUUCCGUGAUAGGUAUUCCGCUGCCUCAAGCGAAAUAGAGCAGAAGAAACCUGCUCAUUGACUUCAUUUAACUGUAUUAG
This 572-nucleotide unclassified non-coding RNA is filed under the name Hevea brasiliensis (rubber tree). The record is from RNAcentral. Lineage: Eukaryota; Viridiplantae; Streptophyta; Magnoliopsida; Malpighiales; Euphorbiaceae.